GCUUCUUUGUUUCAUGUGAUGUGCCAUUUUUAUUUAGCUGAUUUCAAUCGUUUUUCCCUUAUUUAUGAAUUCAGCAUAUAACUAUGAUGUCUCUAGGUAUUACUCUGCUUGGAGUAUCAUGAGCUUCUUGAAUCAAAAGUUUUAUACCUUUCAUCAUAUUUGGGAAUUUAUUUCUGCUCCAUUUACUCUCUUCCCUCCUAGAAGUAAGAGUACCAAUUACUAGAGUAACUAGAACUCCAAUUACUCCUAUGUUAGACAUUUUAAUAUUUUUGAACCAGUCCUUGAGACUGUUCAAUUUUUUCUCUGCCAUUUUUCUCUCUUUUCUUUAGAUUGGAUCAUUUUCAUUUGAUCCCUUUUCAAGUUCAUGGACUCUUCCCUAUGUUGUCUCUAUUCUGCUAGAGGAUGAAUUUUUAUUUCAGAUAUGUUAUGUUUUAGUCUAGAAUUUUUAUUUGGUUGCUUUUUAUAGUUUGUAUUUUUCCGAUGAAAUUUUAC
This 492-nucleotide long non-coding RNA is filed under the name Pan troglodytes (chimpanzee). RNAcentral describes it as "long non-coding RNA NONPTRT010679". Lineage: Eukaryota; Metazoa; Chordata; Mammalia; Primates; Hominidae. The record is from RNAcentral.